UCCGUAGGUGAACCUGCGGAGGGAUCAUUACCGAGUUUACAACUCCCAAACCCCUGUGAACAUACCUAUACGUUGCCUCGGCGGAUCAGCCCGCGCCCCGUAAAAAGGGACGGCCCGCCCGAGGACCCCUAAACUCUGUUUUUAGUGGAACUUCUGAGUAAAACAAACAAAUAAAUCAAAACUUUCAACAACGGAUCUCUUGGUUCUGGCAUCGAUGAAGAACGCAGCAAAAUGCGAUAAGUAAUGUGAAUUGCAGAAUUCAGUGAAUCAUCGAAUCUUUGAACGCACAUUGCGCCCGCCAGUAUUCUGGCGGGCAUGCCUGUUCGAGCGUCAUUUCAACCCUCAAGCUCAGCUUGGUGUUGGGACUCGCGGUAACCCGCGUUCCCCAAAUCGAUUGGCGGUCACGUCGAGCUUCCAUAGCGUAGUAAUCAUACACCUCGUUACUGGUAAUCGUCGCGGCCACGCCGUAAAACCCCAACUUCUGAAUGUUGACCUCGGAUCAGGUAGGAAUACCCGCUGAACUUAAGCAUAUCAAUAAGCGGAG
Molecule: ribosomal RNA, 544 nt
Filed under: Fusarium camptoceras
Lineage: Eukaryota; Fungi; Ascomycota; Sordariomycetes; Hypocreales; Nectriaceae
Description: eukaryotic LSU rRNA
Rfam family: 5.8S ribosomal RNA (bases 180-333)
Source: RNAcentral